AUGUCGGCGCUGGUGUCCGCCCUGCGCAGCGCCGGGCGGCAGCACCUCACCGCGUCCACCGUCGCCGCGGGGGAGCCCAUCACCGGCUCCCACGUGUUCCGGAUCCACGGCUACAAGCAGGUGAGGAAAACGGUCCCCAACGGCUCGGCGGUCGAGUCACCCGCGUUCGACGUCGGCGGCCACCGCUGGAAAGUACAGUGCUACCCGAACGGCGACCGCAAAGAGGCGGACGGCUCCACGUCCAUCUUCCUUACCAGCCUCGGCAACGCCACGGCAGAGUUCAAGCUUAGCGUGCUCGACCACGACGGGGAGCCCUCGGUGAAUGGAGCCGUGCAGCAGGAACGCUACUCGGCUAAUGGCUACUGGGGCUGGACAAAGUUCCUCGACAAGGAAAAUCCCAACCACACUAAGCAUCUCGAGGAUGAUUGCCUCACGGUCCUUUGCGACGUCACCGUCGACCCCGGGCUGCGCGCGCAAGCCGAGGUGGCGGCGGCGCCACCGUUCGACCUGCGCGGGCAGCUUGCGGAAGCCCUCUGGAACAAGCACCCAGCCGACGUGAUGGUCCACGUCGGCGGCGAGACCUUCGCCGCGCACCGGUGGGUGCUGGAGGCCCGGUCCCCCGUCUUCAAAGCAGACCUCGAGGGAAACGCCACCGGCGAGCUACGUGUCGACGACAUGGACGCGGAGGUGUUCAAGACCCUGCUCCAGUUCAUGUACACGGACAGCGCGCCGCAGCUCGAUACAAUGGCGGACAACCAACUUCCUCACAUGAUGAACGAGCAACCCGAUCAGGCCGAGGCGACGAAGGCGGAGCGGCUGCUCGUGGCGGCGGACAGGCACGGGCUGGAGGACCUGAAGCGCGCCUGCGAGAAGGCGCUGCGGCCGCGCGUGGACAUGGGCUCUGUGGCCGCCAUGCUGUCGCUCGCUGAGCGGCAUGGCUGCGCCGUGGUCAAGGAGGCGUGCAUGGAGUUCCUCUCUUGUCCCGGUAAUCUGAAAUCGUUCAUAGCCACCGAUGGAUUUGAGCAGCUGAGGACAAGCUGCCCUUCUGCGGCGCUGGAGCUCGUCAUCAAGCAGCUGCCGUGA
This 1083-nucleotide ribosomal RNA is filed under the name Triticum aestivum (bread wheat). Its description in RNAcentral is "partial small subunit ribosomal RNA". Lineage: Eukaryota; Viridiplantae; Streptophyta; Magnoliopsida; Poales; Poaceae. The record is from RNAcentral.